UAGGAGGCGGGAGAGGCGGACGGUACUCCGCGUGUAGGGGUAAAAUCCUUUGAUCCGCGGAAGACCACCAGUGGCGAAGGCGGUCCGCCAGAACGCGCUCGACGGUGAGGGUGAAAAACCUGGGGGAGCGAACCCGGAUUAGAUACCCGGGUAGUCCCAGCCGUAAACGAUG
RNAcentral lists this ribosomal RNA (172 nucleotides) under uncultured archaeon. RNAcentral describes it as "partial 16S ribosomal RNA". It matches the Rfam family "Archaeal small subunit ribosomal RNA", at positions 593 to 762 of the family's 1478-position model. The record is from RNAcentral.